UACGUAGGUGGCUAGCGUUAUCCGGAUUUACUGGGCGUAAAGGGUGCGUAGGUGGUUUUUUAAGUCAGGAGUGAAAGGCUACGGCUCAACCGUAGUAAGCUCUUGAAACUGGAAAACUUGAGUGCAGGAGAGGAAAGUGGAAUUCCUAGUGUAGCGGUGAAAUGCGUAGAUAUUAGGAGGAACACCAGUAGCGAAGGCGGCUUUCUGGACUGUAACUGACACUGAGGCACGAAAGCGUGGGGAGCAAACAGG
RNAcentral lists this ribosomal RNA (252 nucleotides) under uncultured bacterium. Its description in RNAcentral is "partial 16S ribosomal RNA". It matches the Rfam family "Bacterial small subunit ribosomal RNA", at positions 524 to 776 of the family's 1533-position model. The record is from RNAcentral.